RNAcentral lists this ribosomal RNA (253 nucleotides) under uncultured bacterium. Its description in RNAcentral is "partial 16S ribosomal RNA". It matches the Rfam family "Bacterial small subunit ribosomal RNA", at positions 524 to 776 of the family's 1533-position model. The record is from RNAcentral.
UACGGAGGGGGCAAGCGUUAUUCGGAAUUAUUGGGCGUAAAGGGCUCGUAGGCGGCCAACUAAGUCAGACGUGAAAUCCCCAGGCUCAACCUGGGAACUGCGUCUGAUACUGGAUGGCUUGAAUCCGGGAGAGGGAUGCAGAAUUCCAGGUGUAGCGGUGAAAUGCGUAGAUAUCUGGAGGAAUACCGGUGGCGAAGGCGGCAUCCUGGACCGGCAUUGACGCUGAGGAGCGAAAGCCAGGGGAGCAAACGGG